This 554-nucleotide ribosomal RNA is filed under the name uncultured bacterium. Its description in RNAcentral is "partial 16S ribosomal RNA". It matches the Rfam family "Bacterial small subunit ribosomal RNA", at positions 355 to 900 of the family's 1533-position model. The record is from RNAcentral.
UAGGGAAUCUUCCACAAUGGACGCAAGUCUGAUGGAGCAACGCCGCGUGAGUGAAGAAGGUUUUCGGACCGUAAAGCUCUGUUGUUGGUGAAGAAGGAUAGAGGUAGUAACUGGCCUUUAUUUGACGGUAAUCAACCAGAAAGUCACGGCUAACUACGUGCCAGCAGCCGCGGUAAUACGUAGGUGGCAAGCGUUGUCCGGAUUUAUUGGGCGUAAAGCGAGCGCAGGCGGAAGAAUAAGUCUGAUGUGAAAGCCCUCGGCUUAACCGAGGAAUUGCAUCGGAAACUGUUUUCUUGAGUGCAGAAGAGGAGAGUAGAACUCCAUGUGUAGCGGUGGAAUGCGUAGAUAUAUGGAAGAAUACCAGUGGCGAAGGCGGCUCUCUGGUCUGCAACUGACGCUGAGGCUCGAAAGCAUGGGUAGCGAACAGGAUUAGAUACCCUGGUAGUCCAUGCCGUAAACGAUGGGUGCUAAGUGUUGGGAGGCUUCCGCCUCUCAGUGCUGCAGCUAACGCAUUAAGCACUCCGCCUGGGGGAGUACGACCGCAAGGUUGAAAC